Molecule: ribosomal RNA, 468 nt
Filed under: uncultured bacterium
Lineage: Bacteria
Description: partial 16S ribosomal RNA
Rfam family: Bacterial small subunit ribosomal RNA
Source: RNAcentral
GACGAACGCUGGCGGCGUGCUUAACACAUGCAAGUCGAACGGAAAGGCCCUGCUUUUGUGGGGUGCUCGAGUGGCGAACGGGUGAGUAACACGUGAGUAACCUGCCCUUGACUUUGGGAUAACUUCAGGAAACUGGGGCUAAUACCGGAUAGGAGCUCCUGCUGCAUGGUGGGGGUUGGAAAGUUUCGGCGGUUGGGGAUGGACUCGCGGCUUAUCAGCUUGUUGGUGGGGUAGUGGCUUACCAAGGCUUUGACGGGUAGCCGGCCUGAGAGGGUGACCGGCCACAUUGGGACUGAGAUACGGCCCAGACUCCUACGGGAGGCAGCAGUGGGGAAUAUUGCACAAUGGGCGGAAGCCUGAUGCGGCAACGCCGCGUGCGGGAUGACGGCCUUCGGGUUGUAAACCGCUUCCGCCUGUGACGAAGCGUGAGUGACGGUAAUGGGUAAAGAAGCACCGGCUAACUACGUG